This 851-nucleotide ribosomal RNA is filed under the name uncultured bacterium. RNAcentral describes it as "bacterial SSU rRNA". It matches the Rfam family "Bacterial small subunit ribosomal RNA", at positions 8 to 890 of the family's 1533-position model. The record is from RNAcentral.
AGAGUUUGAUCCUGGCUCAGAAUCAACGCUGGCGGCGCGCCUAACACAUGCAAGUCGAACGAGAAAGCGGGGGCAACCUCGUGAGUAAAGUGGCGUACGGGUGAGUAACACGUGGAUCAUCUACCCUUUUGUGGGGGAUAACCCUGGGAAACCGGGGCUAAUACCGCAUAAGUCCGAGAGGAGAAAGCAGCAAUGCGCAGGAGGAGGAGUCCGCGGCCGAUUAGCUAGUUGGUAGGGUAAAAGCCUACCAAGGCUCCGAUCGGUAGCCGGCCUGAGAGGGCACACGGCCACACUGGCACUGAAACACGGGCCAGACUCCUACGGGAGGCAGCAGUGGGGAAUCUUGCACAAUGGGGGCAACCCUGAUGCAGCGACGCCGCGUGAGCGAUGAAGCCCUUCGGGGUGUAAAGCUCUUUCGGCAGGGAAGAUUAUGACGGUACCUGCAGAAGCAGCUGCGGCUAACUACGUGCCAGCAGCCGCGGUAAUACGUAGGCAGCAAGCGUUGUUCGGAGUUACUGGGCGUAAAGGGUGUGUAGGCGGUUCUCUAAGUCUGGUGUGAAAUCUCCCGGCUCAACUGGGAGGGUGCGCCGAAAACUGGAGGGCUAGAGUGUGGGAUGGGAGAGUGGAAUUCCUGGUGUAGCGGUGAAAUGCGUAGAUAUCAGGAGGAACACCUGUGGUGUAGACGGCUCUCUGGACCGCAACUGACGCUGAGACACGAAAGCGUGGGUAGCAAACAGGAUUAGAUACCCUGGUAGUCCACGCCCUAAACGAUGCAUAUUUGGUGUGGGCCAUUCAUUUGGUCCGUGCCGGAGCUAACGCGUUAAAUAUGCCGCCUGGGGAGUACGGUCGCA